Molecule: ribosomal RNA, 403 nt
Filed under: uncultured bacterium
Lineage: Bacteria
Description: partial 16S ribosomal RNA
Rfam family: Bacterial small subunit ribosomal RNA
Source: RNAcentral
GGGGAAUAUUGGACAAUGGGGGCAACCCUGAUCCAGCAAUGCCGCGUGUGUGAAGAAGGUCUUCGGAUUGUAAAGCACUUUCGACGGGGACGAUGAUGACGGUACCCGUAGAAGAAGCCCCGGCUAACUUCGUGCCAGCAGCCGCGGUAAUACGAAGGGGGCUAGCGUUGCUCGGAAUGACUGGGCGUAAAGGGCGUGUAGGCGGUUUACACAGUCAGAUGUGAAAUCCCCGGGCUUAACCUGGGAGCUGCAUUUGAUACGUGUAGACUAGAGUGUGAGAGAGGGUUGUGGAAUUCCCAGUGUAGAGGUGAAAUUCGUAGAUAUUGGGAAGAACACCGGUGGCGAAGGCGGCAACCUGGCUCAUGACUGACGCUGAGGCGCGAAGGCGUGGGGAGCAAACAGG